Molecule: ribosomal RNA, 390 nt
Filed under: Triticum aestivum (bread wheat)
Lineage: Eukaryota; Viridiplantae; Streptophyta; Magnoliopsida; Poales; Poaceae
Description: partial small subunit ribosomal RNA
Source: RNAcentral
AUGGCGCCAUUGACCAAGCUCUUCCUCCUACUCCUGGGCCUAAACUUGAUGGUCACCGCUGUGCAUGGUGGCUGCGGACCCCACUGCCCGACCCCGACCCCACCACCACCUCCAUCGACCAACGGCGGCACGUGCCCGAUCGACACGCUGAAGCUGGGCGUGUGUGCCACCGUGCUGAACCUGGUGAAGCUCGGGCUCAGCGUGCCGCCCAACGAGCGGUGCUGCCCGCUGCUGGCCGGUCUGGCCGACCUUGACGCCGCUGUGUGCCUCUGCACCGCCAUCAGGGCCAAGGUCCUCGGCGUCAUCAACCUUAACGUCCCCGUCGACCUCGUCCUCCUACUCAACCAGUGCCACAAGACCUGCCCGCCCGGCUUCACCUGCCCGCUCUGA